Molecule: long non-coding RNA, 2134 nt
Organism: Mesocricetus auratus (golden hamster)
Lineage: Eukaryota; Metazoa; Chordata; Mammalia; Rodentia; Cricetidae
Exons: 3
Source: RefSeq, a predicted model, not a curated record
CUCUCUCUCUCUCUCUCUCUCUCUCUCUCUCUCUCUCUCUCUCUCUCUCUCUCUCUCUCUAAUAAAGGAAGUAAAGCCCCAUGCCAUGCUGUGUACAUCUUAGCACCUGGCAGAUAGCAGUCACAUUUUAAUAUUCCUGCUUAGGUUGUCAGCCUUAUUAACCUUCCGAGCCAUUUUGCCAGCCUGUUGGUUGACAUUUGGAAGCGUUGGCCUAUGCAUAUGAGUCUAGUCAUUGGUGGCACAAGUUAGCAAUUUCCAUUCAGAGCCACAGUAGGAUCAUUGAGACGUUCCCAGGAUUUGGAUUUGGUUGCAGCGCAGGGAAAAGAUCCCUCAGGGAGAGGAGCCAUGUAGGACAGCCAUGAGCACAGAUCAGCUCCUCACCCCCAGCUGAAGUCACAUUUCCUAUUUACUGGGGCUCAGUUAACCUUGACUGGUCUAUCAGCAUGUCACUUUGGGCCCCACUUGGCCUGGGGUCAGCCUUCCUGGGCCCCCUUUUAGGGUGGACAGAGGCACUUCUUGGAGCUACCUGGAUGUAAGUUUCAAGGGGAAUUGUAGUGAAUGCCAGAUGUCUGCAGGGGACUUGCUGAAGCCCUCCAAGGGAAGCCAUCUUCAGAUAUAGAAAGGUGUAUUGAAGGUAGGGAGUCAUGGGACAGUACAUUAAUUUGCGAGUAAUUAGGAAGUGCUCUCAAGCGUUGUGUUUUAAUUAGAGCCGUGCUUAGGCUGGGCAACUCAGGCUGCUCAGCAGCUCUGCCUGAUUGUUCAGGAUGUUUAUGUAGGAAGUUUGCAGGGGCUGGCGUAAUGACAUCUGCAAUUCGGUCUAUCUCUGUGUCAUAUGAUGUCUGAGUUCUUGAUUGCAGCAGCUAUGGGGUGGGACCAGGCACCAUCCACCGGGCAUUCUGGGUAUACUUGGAGUAUUCCUGGGAAGGGAAGGAAAUGUCACAGUCACCCAAGCUGCUGUGUUACAGCUCUUCAGCCAGGAUCUCUUCCCAUCCACAGCCACUGUCCAGGGUCUGUUCAGCCAUUCUCUAGAGAGAAAAGCAAGAGUGUCCUUUCUGUAGGAGCCCUGCAGUCAGAAGUCCCAGGUAUCUCACUAAGUCUCGAGGCCUUUGGGAUUGUGUUUUGGAGUUUGCUAUAAAAUGCCUUUUCUUUGGCCAGUCAAAUUUCAGUGUUAAGCCUGGCUAGUGGUGGCACAUGCUUUUAAUCCCAGCAGCUGGAGCUCUGUGAGCCUGAGACCAGCCUGGUCUACAAAGCAAGUUCUAGGAUAGCCAGGGCUACACAGAGAAACCCUGUCUCAAAAACCCAAAACCAACAACAAGGCACCCCCCCCCCAAAGUUGUCUCCUCAGCUGCCUGGACCCUGGGCCUUGGGGUAUGAUGCUGUAGAGCCAAGCAGGGCUCUGAAGGUCAUCCGGCGAUGGUAUCAUCCAUGUAGGACACUGACUAGGACAGCCUACAAGACCGCAACAGGAACAUGGAAGUUUUCCCCCACUAUACAGACAAUCGGCGGGUAUUUUGGUGGCUAAUCUCCAUUGUCAAUUUGACUACAUCUGGAAUCAACUAGAACCCAAGCAGCUGGAUUGGAUAAUUUGAGGUGGGAAGACUAGCCCUUAAGUCUGGACUACCCCUCCUGGUGGCAGUCCAUGUAGAAGGACUUGGAAGAAAGACGCUUCUGCUGUUUUCCCUGCUUGCCCUCACUCUCACCAGCAAGCUCAUCUGUCCUGUUGCUGAGAGGACACGCCUUCCCUGGUGUCUGACCCUGCUUCUCCAGGAUCCCUGCACUGACUGCAGACCAGCUGAUUUCUAGGAAUCUUUGAAGACGCUAGCACCAAACUGGGACACUGAGACAUCCCGUUCCGUAUCGGAAACAACUAUGGAUUCUUGGGCUUCCAGUCUGCAGAUGGCCACUGUUGUGCUGUCUUUAGAGAGCCCUGAAUACUACAGGCAUACUGUGGUAGUCUGCAGACACUGUGUGGGGACAGUAAAGUUCUCAAGAGUCUGGUGUGCAGCAGCGUGCGUGUGUGUGUGUGUGUGUGUGUGUGUGUGUGUGCACGCUUGUUUCUCCAUUUUAUGACUGAUUUAACUAGUUACCUUUUAAUGUUUAUACCAGUAACUGUUAUCACCUCCCCCCCAAAAAC